CCAGUAUGUAAAUGUGUAAUAGAAGCCAAAUAUGGAGCAGUUGGCUGCCGCCGCCACAGCUCAAGGAUCCGACUUCAUGGGGGGGGGGGGGCACCCUCUGGCAGGCGGCCCGGCGAGCCGCACAGAGCACGGCGAGCGCACGGCGCGGCUGCCGGCCCGCGCCCUUAACCCUUCUGUGCACCCGGCCGGAGCAGCGGUCCCUCCCUCCAGGGGAGGCCCGGUGCCUCUCCCUAACUGCGGCUCCGGAUCCCGGACAUCGGCCCGUGGGGACUGUGCCUUCCAGGAACUAUUCUGGUGAUUUGGAAAAAAAAAAAGAAGAAGAAGAAGAAGAAGAGAAAGCAAACAGAAGUGUGGCGGCACCCCAGUAGCAAAGCAAUGGUGUGGGUGUUGUUUCCAUUACUUAUA
Molecule: long non-coding RNA, 405 nt
Filed under: Cricetulus griseus (Chinese hamster)
Lineage: Eukaryota; Metazoa; Chordata; Mammalia; Rodentia; Cricetidae
Description: lncRNA (ENSCGRG00015035936.1)
Source: RNAcentral